CCUACGGUAGGCUGCAGUGGGGAAUAUUGGACAAUGGGCGAAAGCCUGAUCCAGCCAUGCCGCGUGUGUGAAGAAGGCCUUCGGGUUGUAAAGCACUUUCAGUGGGGAAGAAAGCCUUGGGGCUAAUACCCUCGAGGAAGGACAUCACCCACAGAAGAAGCACCGGCUAACUCCGUGCCAGCAGCCGCGGUAAUACGGAGGGUGCGAGCGUUAAUCGGAAUUACUGGGCGUAAAGCGCGCGUAGGCGGUCUGAUAAGCCGGUUGUGAAAGCCCCGGGCUCAACCUGGGAACGGCAUCCGGAACUGUCAGGCUAGAGUGCAGGAGAGGAAGGUAGAAUUCCCGGUGUAGCGGUGAAAUGCGUAGAGAUCGGGAGGAAUACCAGUGGCGAAGGCGGCCUUCUGGACUGACACUGACGCUGAGGUGCGAAAGCGUGGGUAGCAAACAGGAUUAGAUACCCCGGUAGUC
Molecule: ribosomal RNA, 465 nt
Filed under: Vreelandella stevensii
Lineage: Bacteria; Pseudomonadati; Pseudomonadota; Gammaproteobacteria; Oceanospirillales; Halomonadaceae
Description: partial 16S ribosomal RNA
Rfam family: Bacterial small subunit ribosomal RNA
Source: RNAcentral